AUGCCCCACCUGUGUCAUCCCCUUUUCCCUCUGUUUUUCUUUUUGUUUAUUUCAUUUUUCCAGCAUAUUCCAUUUCAGGCAGAGAGCAUCUAUCCUUUUCAGGAAACUCUAGUUUUGGACAUUCUAUUUAUGGAAAUUUGCCAUUUCGGUCUAAUUCCAUAUUAGGCAGGUUCUAACUUAAUGCAUUUGUGGUUAUUUUUCUACUGCAACAUAGACAUAUUAUAUAUGUCUUUGGGGUAGAAAAAUCCCACCAAUCUAGUGGUUGCAUUAGUUUCAUCAUUUGAGCAAGUUUGCACACAUGUCAUUUUACAUCACGUUGUUGUUUUGGCAUUUAUGGAUAAUUAUGCAAAUAUGACAUGUGAUAACUUUGUACAUGAACAUGCUCCUUUACAUGCCAUAUUAUUGCUAGAAUUUGUUUCAUGCUAUGAAAUGCAUUGUAUUGAGUGCAAGAAGCUUGCAAACAUGCCUACUCAAAUCUGUUUCUUCCAUGUCAUGCUUAUUUUGCUAAGUCUGAAACUGUGAGCACAACUUGUCAUUUCGCAUUUAUGCUAUCAUCAUAUCUAUAUAUAUCCUUGGAGCAUGGUCAGUGAGGAAGGACCCCACAUGUCAUACUCUCACAGGGGACCAUGCCCCACCUGUGUCAUCCCCUUUUCCCUCUGUUUUUCUUUUUGUUUAUUUCAUUUUUCCAGCAUAUUCCAUUUCAGGAAGAGAGCAUCUAUCCUUUUCAGGCAAGUCCGGUUCUGGACAUUCCAUUUAUGGAAAUUUGCCUUUUCUCUUUAAUUCCAUAUUAGGCAGGUUCUAACUUAAUGCAUUUGUGGUUAUUUUUCUACUGCAACAUAGUCAUAUUAUAUAUAUUUUGGGGGUAGAAAAAUCCCACCAAUCGAGUGGUUACAUUAGUUUCAACAUUUGAGCAAGUUUGCACACAUGUCAUUUUACAUCACAUUGCUGUUUUGGCAUUUAUGUGGAUAAUUAUGCAAAUAUGAUAUGUGAUAACUUUGUACAUGAACAUGCUCCUUUACAUGCCAUAUUAUUGCUAGAAUUUGUUUCAUGCUAUGAACUGCAUUGUAUUGAGUGCAACAAGCUUGCAAACAUGCCUACUCAAAUCAGUUUCUGUCAUGUCAUGCUUAUUUUGCUAAGUCUGAAACUGUCAGCACAACUUGUCAUUUCGCAUUGAUGCUACCAUCAUAUAUGGAUAUCCUUGGAGCAUGGUCAGUGAGGAAGGGCCCCACAUGUCAUACUCUCACAGGGGACCAUGCCCCACCUGUGUCAUCCCUUUUCCCUCUGUUUUUCUUUUUGUUUACUUCAUUUUUCCAGCAUAUUCCAUUUUAGGCAGAGAGCAUCUAUCCUUUUCAGGCAAGUCCAGUUCUGGACAUUCCAUUUAUGGAAAUUUGCCAUUUCUGUUUAAUUCCAUAUUAGGCAGGUUCUAACUUAAUGCAUUUGUGGUUAUUUUUCUACUGCAACAUAGACACAUUAUAUAUGUUUUUGGGGUAAAAAAUCCCACCAAUCCAAUGGUUGCAUUAGUUUCAUCAUUUGAGCAAGUUUGCACACAUGUCAUUUUACAUCACAUUAUUGUUUUGGCAUUUAUGUGGAUAAUUAUCCAAAUAUGACAUGUGAUAACUUUGUACAUGAAGAUGCUCCUUUACAUGCCAUAUUAUUGCUAGAAUUUGUUUCAUGCUAUGAAACGCAUUGUAUUGAGUGCAACAAGCUUGAAAACAUGCCUACUCAAAUCAGUUUCUGCCAUGUCAUGCUUAUUUUGCUAAGUGUGAAACUGUCAGCACAACCUGUCAUUUUGCAUUGAUGCUAUCAUCAUAUCUGUAUAUCCUUGGAGCAUGGUCAGUGAGGAAGGGCCCCACAUGUCAUACUCUCACAGGGGACCAUGCCCCACCUGUGUCAUCCCCUUUUCCUUCUGUUUUUCUUUUUGUUUAUUUCAUUUUUCUAGCAUAUUCCAUUUCAGGGAGAGCAUCUAUCCUUUUCAGGCAAGUCCGGUUCUCGACAUUCCAUUUAUGGAAAUUUGCCAUUUCUGUUUAAUUCCAUAUUAGGCAGGUUCUAACUUAAUGCAUUUGUGGUUAUUUUUCUACUGCAACAUAGACAUAUUAUAUAUGUUUUUGGGGUAGAAAAAUCCCACCAAUCCAGUGGUUGCAUUAGUUUCAUAGUUUGAGCAAGUUUGCACACAUGUUAUUUUACAUCACAUUGCUGUUUUGGCAUUUAUGUGGAUAAUUAUGCAAAUAUGAGAUGUGAUAACUUUGUACUUGAACAUGCUCCUUUACAUGCCAUAUUAUUGCUAGAAUUUGUUUCAAGCUAUGAAAUGCAUUGUAUUGAGUGCAACAAGCUUGCAAACAUGCCUACUCAAAUCAGUUUCUGCCAUGUCAUGCUUAUUUUGCUAAGUCUAAAACUGUGAGCACAACUUGUCAUUUCGGAUUGAUGCUAUCGUCAUAUCUGUAUAUCCUUGGAGCAUGGUCAGUGAGGUAGGGCCCCACAUGUCAUACUCUCACAGGGGACCAUGCCCCACCUGUGUCAUCCCCUUUUCCCUUUGUUUUUCUUUUCGUUUAUUUCAUUUUUCCAGCAUAUUCCAUUUCAGGCAGAGAGCAUCUAUCCUUUUCAGGCAACUCCAGUUCUGGACAUUCCAUUUUUGGAAAAUUGCCAUUUCGGUUUAAUUCCAUAUUAGGCAGGUUCUAACUUAAUGCAUUUGUGGUUAUUUUUCUACUGCAACAUACACAUAUUAUAUAUGUUUUUGGGGUAGAAAAAUCCCACCAACUAGUGGUUGCAUUAAUUUCAUCAUUUGAGCAAGUUUGCACACAUGUCAUUUUACAUCACAUUGCUGUUUGUGCAUUUAUGUGGAUAAUUAUGCAAAUAUGAUAUGUGAUAACUUUGUACAUGAACAUGCUCCUCUACAUGCCAUAUUAUUGCUAGAAUUUGUUUCAUGCUAUGAAAUGCAUUGUAUUGAGGGCAAGAAGCUUGCAAACAUGCCUACUGAAAUCUGUUUCUGCCAUGUCAUGCUUAUUUUGCUAAGUCUGAAACUGUUAGCACAACUUGUCAUUUCGCAUUGAUGCUAUCAUCAUAUCUGUUUAUCCUUGCAGCAUGGUCAGUGAGGAAGGGCCCCUCUCACAGGGGACCAUGCCCCACCUGUGUCAUCCCCUUUUCCCUCUGUUUUUCUUUUUGUUUAUUUCAUUUUUCCAGCAUAUUCCAUUUCAGGCAGAGAGCAUCUAUCCUUUUCAGGCAACUCUAGUUCUGGACAUUCCAUUUAUGGAAAUUUGCCAUUUCGGUUAAAUUCCAUAUUAGGCAGGUUCUAACUUAAUGCAUUUGUGGUUAUUUUUCUACUGCAACAUAGACAUAUUAUAUAUGUCUUUGGGGUAGAAAAAUCCCACCAAUCUAGUGGUUGCAUUAGUUUCAUCAUUUGAGCAAGUUUGCACACAUGUCAUUUUACAUCACAUUGUUGUUUUGGCAUUUAUGGAUAAUUAUGCAAAUAUGACAUGUGAUAACUUUGUACAUGAACAUGCUCCUUUACAUGCCAUAUUAUUGCUAGAAUUUGUUUUAUGCUAUGAAAUGCAUUGUAUUGAGUGCAAGAAGCUUGCAAACAUGCCUACUCAAAUCUGUUUCUUCCAUGUCAUGCUUAUUUUGCUAAGUCUGAAACUGUCAGCAC
Molecule: long non-coding RNA, 3640 nt
Filed under: Triticum aestivum (bread wheat)
Lineage: Eukaryota; Viridiplantae; Streptophyta; Magnoliopsida; Poales; Poaceae
Description: long non-coding RNA (TAES_LNC013305)
Source: RNAcentral